This is a long non-coding RNA of Anas platyrhynchos (mallard), 772 nucleotides long. RefSeq lists it as uncharacterized. The record is from RefSeq and is a predicted model, not a curated record. Lineage: Eukaryota; Metazoa; Chordata; Aves; Anseriformes; Anatidae.
UAUUAAGAGGGUUCUCGAGUGCCAGGCUCUGCUCAGGUUUUCCCCAGCUCUGUUGGAAGGGGCAACACAGCUGUGCCUCCAAGAGGGUGAUGCAAAGCCCCCUGCCUCCCAAAAAGGAGUCUGAUGCCUUGGGUCAUGGGAGGCUGGCUACAAGAGACUGCAAAGCAGCAGCUUUGAUGAGGACAACACAAAGCCUCCAGCCCUUAGCAGCCACCUCUAAGAAAGGCAGCCAGUGAUGAGCAACACAAGCUACAAAGUUCACUUCAAUGAAUACAGAAUAUUUUUACAAAACUGGGCCCAUGUGAACCGCAUGAAGUUCAACAAGUCCAAGAGCAAGGUGCUGCACUUGGGAUGGGGCAAGUCCAGAUGUGAGCACAGACUGGGAGAAGAACUCACUGAGAGCAGCCCUGCAGAGAAGGACUUGGGGGUUCUGGUGGACAAAAAGCUCGACAUGAGCCAGCAGUGUGUGCCUGCAGCCCAGAAGGCCAACUGCAUCCAGGGCUGAAUCAACAGAGGGUGGCCAGCAGGGAGAUGAUUGUGACCCUCUGCUCUGCCCUUGUGAGGCCCUACCUGGAGUGCUGUGUCCAGGUCUGGGAUGUGGGGCUGUUGGAGUGAAUCCAGAGAGGGCUACAAGACGCUCAGAGGACUGAAGCACCUCUCUUCUGAAGAAAGGCUGAGAGAGUUGGGGAUGUUCAGGCUGGAGAAGAGAAGGCUCCAGGGAUACCUCGUUGCAGCCUUCCAGUACUUAAAUGGGUCCUAUAAAAAAGGAUGG